UACGAAGGGGGCUAGCGUUGCUCGGAAUCACUGGGCGUAAAGGGCGCGUAGGCGGACUCUUAAGUCGGAGGUGAAAGCCCAGGGCUCAACCCUGGAAUUGCCUUCGAUACUGGGAGUCUCGAGACCGGAAGAGGUAAGUGGAACUGCGAGUGUAGAGGUGAAAUUCGUAGAUAUUCGCAAGAGCACCAGUGGCGAAGGCGGCAUCCUGGACCGGUAUUGACGCUGAGGCGCGAAAGCUAGGGGAGCAAACGGG
This 253-nucleotide ribosomal RNA is filed under the name uncultured bacterium. RNAcentral's name for it is "partial 16S ribosomal RNA". It matches the Rfam family "Bacterial small subunit ribosomal RNA", at positions 524 to 776 of the family's 1533-position model. The record is from RNAcentral.